This 253-nucleotide ribosomal RNA is filed under the name uncultured bacterium. RNAcentral describes it as "partial 16S ribosomal RNA". It matches the Rfam family "Bacterial small subunit ribosomal RNA", at positions 524 to 776 of the family's 1533-position model. The record is from RNAcentral.
UACGGGGGGGGCAAGCGUUGUUCGGAAUCAUUGGGCGUAAAGGGCGCGUAGGUGGCGGGACAAGCGUGCGGUGAAAGCCUGGGGCUCAACCCCGGGUCGGCCGUGCGAACUGUUUUGCUUGAGCACUGUAGAGGCAGGCGGAAUUCCGGGUGUAGCGGUGGAAUGCGUAGAGAUCCGGAAGAACACCGGUGGCGAAGGCGGCCUGCUGGGCAGUAGCUGACACUGAGGCGCGACAGCGUGGGGAGCAAACAGG